CGCAGAAUUUGUGUCAUUUUGUUGUUGUUGUUGUGCUGUGUGUUCGGUUUGGCUGCAACCACUGAAUGUUGCGGCAACAUGUUGCCGCACGGCGAUCACUUGUCAAAUGUUUUUGUCAGCAGAAUUUUUAGUUCAUUUUCGCGGCACUCUAGCAGCUAAGCUGAGCAUUUGUGCAGAAACCAAAGACAGCUUACGGUUUUGUGCCAUUUAUAGGCCAGCAUGCCCGCGUUUUGCACCGAGCACAGGGUACGCACGACUAUUGGCCAAUUGCAACAUUUGACAGGCAGACUGCAGAAUUUGGACAAUGGAGACGACGACGACGACGAUGACGAUGACAAAAGCAGCGGCGGCAGCAGACAGACAGGCGGACAGCAGCGGACAUUGGUUAUGCGGACAGCGGCUGUGCGUGCCACCAAAAUACUCGUGCAUCAGCCCUCUCUCUCUUUGUGCUGUGUGUUGCACUUAAUUGAAUGAAUGAACAGCAACAUCAGUGAGUGGCAGCAACAAAAAUACAACAAUCUCAACAACAACAACAAUGAAAUUUACAACAACUGCAGAGGGAAAUAGCAACAAGGCCUUUACGAUUUAUUACUCUAGCAAAGAUAGAACCAAAACUAAAAUAUUGAAUACUUCAGCCAUCAUUGACUUCACUUUUUAUUCAACAACAGCGCCAAAAAAUUGCAGCAGCUAACUGCAACUACAACAACAAUCCACAAUCG
RNAcentral lists this long non-coding RNA (719 nucleotides) under Drosophila guanche. The record is from RNAcentral. Lineage: Eukaryota; Metazoa; Arthropoda; Insecta; Diptera; Drosophilidae.